GAUGAACGCUAGCGGCAGGCUUAAUACAUGCAAGUCGAGGGGCAGCGGGAGUAGCAAUACUUGCCGGCGACCGGCGCACGGGUGCGUAACACGUAUGUAAUCUGCCCAUCACAGGAGGAUAGCCCGGAGAAAUUCGGAUUAAUACUCCAUAAUAGAAGAUAAAGCAUUUUAUUUCUUGAAAGUUCCGACGGUGAUGGAUGAACAUGCGACUGAUUAGUUUGUUGGUGAGGUAACGGCUCACCAAGACUACGAUCAGUAGGGGUACUGAGAGGUUAAACCCCCACACUGGUACUGAGACACGGACCAGACUCCUACGGGAGGCAGCAGUAAGGAAUAUUGGACAAUGGCCGCAAGGCUGAUCCAGCCAUGCCGCGUGCAGGAAGACGGACCUAUGGUUUGCAAACUGC
This 407-nucleotide ribosomal RNA is filed under the name uncultured bacterium. RNAcentral's name for it is "bacterial SSU rRNA". It matches the Rfam family "Bacterial small subunit ribosomal RNA", at positions 28 to 433 of the family's 1533-position model. The record is from RNAcentral.